UGUAAAAGCUGUUUGAAAAGACUGCCUGAAAUGUCAGCCUGUUUUGGUAGGAUGGUGUUUUGGCCCUCCAUGGUGACAUCCCCAUGUGGUAAUUAGUUAAUAGACCAAUAAGAAAGACAUUUCCCAAAWACUCGCCUACUCAGACCACUCCCAGACAGUCCUAGCAAAACURUUGCUUGAGAAAUUUACCUUAGCUAUUUUUAUUUAUUUUUUGACUAUUUUAUUGAAAACAAUCACAGUAAGGUACUUAAUUGUUACCCAUAAAUAAUUUGAUACUAAGAUACAAAUUACUGCAUUGGACCUUUAACAUUUUAUGUUGAAUUAUGAGUUUGUAUUCCAAAUACUUCAUUACAAAUUAUAUAACCAGCUUGUCAACUAAGAGUCAAAAGACUAGACAGAGACAAAAUGUUUGAUGAUUUUUCCUGGAGUCGUUAUGGUUAGCUUUUUGCAAAUGUGUAGUAUUUGAAUACGUUUUAUCAAGCAAAGUUAUGAAUGUAUCACAAUGCUUUACAAUUCUGUAUGAAGCCUGCAAAUGACAUGGCGGCUCCGCCAUUUUGUUGAACAUUUCCUUGGAUGUGACUGAGGGACUGAAUCUGUAUUCUCGCGUUGAUUGCCAAGCCACAAUAACAGACAUGUUAGUUAGUGUUCUACUCUGAUCAUGUUCUCCUUCACCCUCCUCUCACUGUGGAUUUGUAGCAUUGCAAAGCAUAACCAGGAACAUAGCUUCGACUAACAGGUUGGAUAUUUACUUGAUUAACCAUUUUAAUCUAAGUUGAUAUUAUCUAAAGUUAAUACUGAGUAAGAUGCAUAGCAUACAGUAGCAUAUCAUAUUUAUUAACAAUACGGUUAAACAAUCCCUUCAAAUACUACAGACGGAAUAGUUACAUUUACCUCCCUGUUCUUCCUCCAAGCUUUUUUCUGUUGUACUAGGACAUCAUUUGUUUUUAUAGCUGUAUUGUUUGCCAAAGUUCUUAUGCACACCUGUGUACGGUUGCGUUCCUUAAAAUAUAUCUUAGUUGAAACAUAACUUCAUGAAAACCUGCCAUGUUAACAUUUCUUAAUUUAUUAUUUGAAAAGUGUUUAAAGAAAGCAUGGUUGGGGUCAUUUACAAAUAUAAAACACAACGUAUAGAUAAAAUAAAAGUGCAUGUAAUUAAUUACAGACAAAGGCAGCCCAAGUAGAGGAGAGGGAAGCGAGGUAGAGGCACACAGUGGUAAAAAUUGGCAGGCCACCCAAAACCAAAACCCUAUCCUCAAGUGAACUUGUUGCAAACGCUAAGUGCUACAUGCACGCUAAGCUAAAUGAUAACUACAGACAGUUCCAAACCAACCAUCUCAAACAAAUUCAUAGUUACAUGUCCAUUUCUCCUACAUCCUCUACAGAAACUGAACAGGGCUGUGCAUACAAUAAAAUACACAAUAUUAAUAUACAUCUACAGUAGCCACAAACUGUAUGUGUCAAUGUUUAUGCUUAAAACCAAAGAUGUGGAUUUUUCAAUUGGCUAAAACACAUGGCGAGAUGUGACGUGAGGCUACACUGCUUUGGAUGGGGUUCUAGGGAUCUACUGAAGCUCAGACAGGCACAUCCAAACCAGUGUAUCUCGUUUUUAAAAAGAAGACUGUAAAGACUGCUAAUAACGACCUAACUCAGCUGGACCAUUUCGUCAGUAAGUAAACACAAAGAGUGUUUUUUUUGUUCCUGCUAGCGGCAGGUCCAUUUAAUGUAGCCACCUGUGUCUUAUCGAACGUUGUUGUGAAGAGAGGAGGAGAGGAGAGUGGAGAGUCCUCGGAGUAAGCGAGCGGAGGAACCGGUUGUCUGUUGCCGUGCUGUUCUAGCGAGGGAGCCAGCAAGGAACGAACGGGUGGUUACGUAAGGAAAGUGCUCCUCAAAGACCCACUCUGCAGAUGAGAUGAGAGCCCAAAACAGGAACAGCCAUGUUGGCUAGUCCCGUCUGAGCUAACCUAACAGCACAAUGUCAUCCACAAACCAACAGAAAGUUACACACAGUUAAAGAAGCAAAAGAGUAGUUUCCCCCACCUUUUUCUCUGCUAGGCAUGCAAUCUCCUGCUAUACUUUUCAUCUGGCAUUAAAGACAUGAGGCAUCAAAAUAAAUCCAGAACAGGAGACAUGCAGAGAUUUGACCCUUUUUCCUUUUUCUUUCUUUCUUUUUAGAGCUCCUGAUACUUCGGGGCAGAGAGGGGAAAAAAGUUCAAGCGUGUGAGCCCAGCCUUUGCCGUUAUUUGGAACCAGAGCCAAAAGAGGCAGGAAGUUGUUUUACAAUAGUGUUAUAGUAAUCUGCCACAAAUGGGAAAAGCCAAACGCUGGUCACACAGUGGAGAAGGUGGUGGGACAGAGAGAGGGAGGGAAAGAGGAAGUAUGAAAAAGACAGAGAUACAAAAAAACGAAAAUCAAAAUAAUAAUCGGUAUGUACUAAGAUGGUGGAGGACUGGUCUGCCAUGCUGUUUUGUAGUGUGUGUGUGUGUGUGUGUGUGUGUAUGCGCGCGCAAACAGCAGGGUGUAGGGAGGGUGGAGCGCGCCACAAUGCAGGAUUCUAGAUGAUUCCAGGGUAAGGGAUAGUUUAGAAGCAAAUAUACUCAACAAUCUUUUCCUAUUUGGACAAGGUAUCCUGUGCCUUUUUACCCAGAACCCCUCGUGUUUUCUGUGAAUUCUCAAUCACGUUGUAAUCACAGCAGCUGUUUUUCUUCCAGUAAAGCAGUGAGGUCUCACCCAAAACGCUUAUCAGGCUUUUUACUCCUUGCCAAAAUAGCUGUAAGGGUCGUGCGAUGUUUAGCCCCUCGGAGAAGCAGAGCCAGGGCAGGAAGAGGACAGUCUUACUGUACUGUACUGUAACUCUACUAACCCCGCUCUCUACCCUGCCACGUGCUACACUACAGUAUUAUACUCAAGUAGCUCCCAUUUUUCCAUAUCUGCUUUUUGUCUUCUCAAUGCUGCUUUCACGCUAGCUGCUGUGGCAUGCUAAAGAGUUGAUACUUUCUGUCUGUGAGCCAUGGCUUGCUGUAGAAUAUGAUCCAGACAGACUGUUGCAGCUUGACGAGAGAGAGAYCUACAGUACUGUACUGUACUGUACCAGAUAAGGUUAAUCAUUUAACCUGCUCUCAGAACUGUUGCAUAUUUCAAAUGUCCUUAGGCAGGGCAGUCCACUCUGAGUGUUUGUACGUUCUCUUUUUUUCGUUUCCUUAUUUUUUAUGCUCUGUUCUGUAGCUGAUUGCCGGGGUGCGGAGAGUGCUAGUAUGGCGUGAGUGCGUGCACUGCGUCUGCGCACUGCCGGAGGAGUGCAUUUCUGUGUCAUUCUUCCUCCUCUACCCCCUCCCACCCUCGACUGCUUUCCGCCCUCCCACUCUCCCCCGUCUCUCUCUCUCUCUCUCUUUCCCUCUCUCUAUUUCCCUCUUGGUCGCCGUCUCCCACCCUUCUCUCUCCCUCCUCCCUCUCUCAAGUGCAUAUACAGUUCCUUGCCGUGUUGGAUGUGUGAUGAAAAAGUGGCUGGCUCUCGUGCUCCGCCGCACCUCCUAUUUCAUCAUCAGUCGAGCUUUUCUCUCCUUCACUCUGCGCUUGCUGCCUCGUCUCUUCUAUGGCUCGCUCCCCUGUUCUCAGCUCCAGCCGCACGCAGGGGGGAGACUCGAGCUCUGUGGGGAGAAAAAAAGAACAAAGGUUUGCUGCUAUUUCUACAGUCAGGGCCUCCCCACAGCCCGCCCUUCCAUAGAGGAUUUUUUUUUUUUUUUUUUUUACUACUAGCUGGAUUUUAACCCUCUGCCUCCAAAUAUCUACACAACGGCUCUGCAAAAAGCUGGCAACAAGUAGCUUUUUUGGGGCCUUUACGUAGUUUUGUGCGGCAAUUUUUGCAUCAGUUUGGAUCUUGCUGUUAUUUCUUCUUUUUGGGUGUUAUUUUUUCAUCUGCAUUAAUUCCCAGAGUUUUAUAUUUCUCUUUGAAAGAGUUUGGCGGUGUUUAUUUUGAAUGUGUUAUUAUUUUUGUCGUCGUUUGGCCGUGUUUGUAUCUCGCCACGUGAUGAGCCUUCUUCCUCCUGGAGCUGUGUUCGUACGGGCGUCAUUCCUACUGGAGAUGUGGAUCCAGCGUGGAAAAAAGAGAGGAAGAGAGAAGCUGCUCAGAAUUUCACCCCCGGAUUCGGAACGUUUCGGAAUUGCCUCUACUGCAGAAUAUUUGCUGCAUGACUGACUCAGACCUUGGCCGAUGGCACGGGACUUUUGGCCAAUCAGAGAACCCCAUGGUCAGACAGACGGACAGCCCUAGCAAUGCUGCUACCUGACAAGCUGCUUAGAGCCUGAUGGAGAGAGGAGGAGGAGGAAGGUGAUAGCCAG
This is a non-coding RNA of Salvelinus sp. IW2-2015, 4335 nucleotides long. NCBI's taxonomy places the organism in Eukaryota, Metazoa, Chordata, Actinopteri, Salmoniformes, Salmonidae. The record is from RefSeq and is a predicted model, not a curated record.